This is a long non-coding RNA of Drosophila ananassae, 989 nucleotides long. RefSeq lists it as uncharacterized. The transcript has 2 exons. The record is from RefSeq and is a predicted model, not a curated record. Lineage: Eukaryota; Metazoa; Arthropoda; Insecta; Diptera; Drosophilidae.
UGUGCACCUGCGGUCCCACAAAUGAGAAUAAGAUACAAUUUUCAAUCUUUAAAAUAAUGAAUAUCGAGAUAGGCUCCCUCGAACCAAUCCCAAGGAACUUAAAUAUAAACCAGGAUCACAAAACCCUUUAUUAAUAAGAACUACAUUUUUUUCCAGCUGUUCCAGCCGACUAUGCAAGAGUCCAACCCAAAAUCUGGCCAAGGAGCACUCAAAACAAUAGAUCCAUAGCUAUAUCUCAGCCAAUUAUGACCCGAUCCUGAAAAGGGAUACCUUCUAGGACUUCUGGAUCGAUUCCCCAUCGUUCUGCAUCAAAAUCCGGACGGAUAAUAUUUUUUCAAAUUUUUCAUAAUUUUUGUGGCCAGAUCCCUUCCAGAAGGCGGGAUUUCCAUAUAGGGCCCCGAUCUAUGGCUAUAUCUCAGCCAAUUCUGAUCCGAUCUUCAAAAGGGAUGCCUUUUAUGAUUAGGGGGUCGAUUUCCUCUCAUUCUGCAUCAAAAUAAGUACCCAAUAUAGUUUUUAAAAUUUUUUUUCCUUUUUUGUAGAGAUACCCAUUGAAAAGUGCUCGAUUUGUGUAAUUUUAGUGCCCAUUUUGCUAGAAUGCUUGGGAAAAUAGUUGCUCCGCCACUCUUGCGGCAAAAAGAGAACCAUGCUUAAUCAUAAAAUAAAAAAUUUAAAACGCAAAUCAAUAAAAUAAAAUCAGCGAACAAAAUAUAAGAUUCACACGGGCGAGCAACCUUACAAGAGCCCACUUUUAGCUUUUUAAAAUAAAAUAAAUUAAGAAAAAUGUUUAAAAAUAAAAUAAUAAAAUGAGGAAAGAAGGAAAGAAGGCAUGUAGUAUUGUCGCCAAAGCUACAAAACCCAUGAAUAAAAAUAAAUAAAAAGAAAAAAUAAAAUAAAUAAGAGAUAGAAGUAACCCACACGGGAGAGAGACCGUACAAGAGCCCAAGUUGGAAAUUAGAAAAAAUAAUAAAUAAAAUAAUAAUUAAAAUAAA